UACGUAGGGCGCAAGCGUUGUCCGGAUUUAUUGGGUGUAAAGGGCGCGUAGGCGGCUCGGCACGUCCGUUGUGAAAUCGCCCGGCUCAACUGGGCGGGGUCAGCGGAUACGGUCGAGCUUGAGCAAGCUAGGGGGCAAUGGAAUUCCCGGUGUAGUGGUGGAAUGCGUAGAUAUCGGGAGGAACACCAGUGGCGAAGGCGGUUGCCCUGGGGCUUUGCUGACGC
Molecule: ribosomal RNA, 224 nt
Filed under: uncultured bacterium
Lineage: Bacteria
Description: partial 16S ribosomal RNA
Rfam family: Bacterial small subunit ribosomal RNA
Source: RNAcentral